AGUAAAUAGAUACCCCGGUAGUCCACGCCGUAAACGAUGUCGACUUGGAGGUUGUGCCCUUGAGGCGUGGCUUCCGGAGCUAAACGCGUUAAAGUCGACCGCCUGGGGAGUACGGCCGCAAGGUUAAAACUCAAAUGAAUUGACGGGGGCCCGCACAAGCGGUGGAGCAUGUGGUUUAAUUCGAUGCAACGCGAAGAACCUUACCUACUCUUGACAUCCAGAGAACUUAGCAGAGAUGCUUUGGUGCCUUCGGGAACUCUGAGACAGGUGCUGCAUGGCUGUCGUCAGCUCGUGUUGUGAAAUGUUGGGUUAAGUCCCGCAACGAGCGCAACCCUUAUCCUUUGUUGCCAGCGGUUAGGCCGGGAACUCAAAGGAGACUGCCAGUGAUAAACUGGAGGAAGGUGGGGAUGACGUCAGGUCAUCAUGGCCCUUACGAGUAGGGCUACACACGUGCUACAAUGGCGCAUACAAAGAGAAGCGACCUCGCGAGAGCAAGCGGACCUCAUAAAGUGCGUCGUAGUCCGG
RNAcentral lists this ribosomal RNA (525 nucleotides) under uncultured bacterium. RNAcentral's name for it is "bacterial SSU rRNA". It matches the Rfam family "Bacterial small subunit ribosomal RNA", at positions 774 to 1296 of the family's 1533-position model. The record is from RNAcentral.